This is a non-coding RNA of Zootermopsis nevadensis, 2643 nucleotides long. Lineage: Eukaryota; Metazoa; Arthropoda; Insecta; Blattodea; Termopsidae. The record is from RefSeq and is a predicted model, not a curated record.
GCGCGGAACAGCGCAGUAGUGCUGGUUGCAUAUGCACAAGAAAAGGGGAUGGUACUUGCAAAGACACACCCGCCUCCCCCCUUACGCCCUCCGAGAGAGAACAGCUGAAAGUGCUUUUUUGAACAGUGUGUCCAAAGAUGUUCGAGUGGUAACAUCCGUAUUUUCCAAUACAUUUUAACGCAAGUAAUAAACAAUAUUGCAGGCUGAAAAGUGUUGUGUUUUAAUGUUUCUUUCAACAUAUUAACUGAGGCAUUAGUUUUAAUUUCAAGUGUGAUGGUGUUCACAGCACUAAGAGAACACUAUACCAGUUACGUAGCAAAUAAGUCACAGUUAAAUACAACCAGAAAACUGAAGAUUUACACGGUGACUUUAGCAAAAACUUUUUCGGUGCAGAGAAGAAAUCGUAAUACAACUUUUGUUCCUAAUACAACCAAAAUAAGAAUAACACAAAACUUAUUACUGGAGCGUGUGAAGGAGAGGAACGAGUGAGAAUAAGCCGUCUAUGACAGGCGGCUAAUCCUGAGUUAACAUAUUAAUACAACUUAGUUACAAACAAAUCAUUACAACCGGCUAUUAAAAUUAUUGCUAAAUUCAAGUGAAGAAACUCAUAAAGACUAUUUUAAUAGUGCGCUUUUCCCCUUUAAGAUCAAGAAUGCAAACACAGACAACACUUUCUUCAAACAAUCUUAUGUUGUGAUACGGCGAGGAAAUAAAUGGCUUAUAAUAAGACAUUAAUACAAAGGACACGCGCGCAGAGUUACGAUGCAGAGGAAAGACUUUCUAGUAAGAAAAAGAAGGUAAAGAUUAUGAAAUAAUCUGUUCAAAAUUCUAGCCACAACAGUUACGAGAUUUCCUGUACAGACGAAAGCUCUGCUACAUUUUUCAUCAAAAACAAACUUGACUUGGCAACAAAGAUAUUUCUUCUUCCGUAUUCCGUCACCAUCUCAUCAUUCUACUGGAGAUGUAAGGCGCUGAACGUCCAGCAAGAUGUAUCGUGGGCUGUGCCAACCUCGGCGGCUAACCCGGAAGUACAGCGAACACUCGAGACGUAAGAAGACAAAAGCCACCAUUUAAUCACCGAAGGUCUACCGUAUGGCGUCAUAAUGACGACGACCGAGAAGAAACGGCCGACAAUGGGUGAAGACUGCGGGAAGUAAAAAUAAAUCAAAAAUCAGCUCAUCCGCCAUUCACAGAAAGUGUCGGAAUGAAAAAAAAUCUAAUGACUAGGGUGACAAUUUAUUAUAUCCGGAGCACCACAAACUAGCAUUUUUUUUUUACAAGAUGCCAUUCGCCUGUGCCAGUGUCUUUAAGAAAUAAAGUCUUCGAAACGGAAGUAUUUCCGUAUCAUAAAAGACGUCUAAACAUCUGAAUUAAAUAUUCUUCAUUGUGACGCGUAAUAUUUCAUACUGAGCAUAAGUGUGUAUCCAUUAACCAAAAAAAAAAAAAAAACGACAUCACCGGUAAACUUUCCACGUCUGAAACUCGUAAAAUGUACAUCGGCGAAUGUCAUAUUCGCCCUGCCACAGAUUUAAAAUCUAAGAGCUAAAAACAGACACAGAAGAACUGAUUAAUAAAAGAUCUAUUAAUAAGCCCCCUUGUUACCAUCUGCUUCUGUCUUCGCUAGAUAGCAAAUAGCCACUAAAAGUAACCAGUAAAAUAUAAAAAAAAAGUUAGUUUUGUUAGUAGUCGCUCAAAGAGAGAAACAAAAAUUAUGCAGCGAAUAUUACUUUUUUGAAUACAAGCCAAAUAAUUUAAAAAAAACAUGGACGUAAUUUAUUAUCUGACAGCUGAUACUUCACGUCCGCCUCAUCGGAUGUAACCACGAAAGAGGAAACAGAUGAAGCAUCAUCACACCGCCUCACCAAUUCAGUAUUACAUCUUGUGAUGGCCAGGUAGUGUACGACACGACGUCGCAAGACAAAACACUGUGCUACAACUAACUAACAUCGUUUGCGAAUCUUACUGGCGAAAUAUCCAGCCUGAAAUAAACAAUCAUGCCAAACCAGUGGGUUUUUUUUAUUUCAGUGACAGCCACGAAAUAAUAUAAACAAGGAAAUAAAGUGUGAAUGAAGAUAAAUUAAGAUUACUUUUAUUUGUUAAGACCUCGGUUUACUGAACUAAACACAUAAUCCAAAGAAGAUAAAUUACACGUGCUGGCUUCUUGUCGUCGUAAAAUUUCUCAUCAUCAUUCCACAGUGAAAGUAAAUUUAUUCAAAGAUAAUAAACAUUAAAGGUACGUUGAACAAACACAGUUCACAAUAUCACAGCACAUCUGAGCAGGAAUCAACGAAAUAAUUAACCGCUAGAAAAGUUACGACUUGUGGUCAAUAAAACACAUGCACGUCCGUUGCAGACUACAAAAUUACGAGCCUUGAUUUAAAAAACAAAAUAGUAAACAGAGAAUUUAAUAGGAAAGGUCUGUGUUCUAAUCAGUUACAUCGAAAAGAUAAUUACAUUGAGAAUCAUACGUCUGUAAAAGUUGCGGGCAGUGGCGUGCUAAUGCUGCGAAAUGGUGACACCUUCUUCACGGAGACAAUAAAAUAUCGUCAAUGAUGCACACAAUUUGGAAUUUGGACGUUAUUACGCAACAGAACUGUCAAAAACUGGCCGACGUAUGAAACUGUGUAAUUUAGCAACCCAAAA